RNAcentral lists this long non-coding RNA (544 nucleotides) under Mustela putorius furo (domestic ferret). RNAcentral describes it as "lncRNA (ENSMPUG00000026796.1)". The record is from RNAcentral. Lineage: Eukaryota; Metazoa; Chordata; Mammalia; Carnivora; Mustelidae.
CCAGGACUUCAUGAUGCCUUCUUGACUGCUAGCUGAACAUGGACUUGUCUUUUUAUUUUUUUUUUUUUUAUAAACCCAGUCACAACACAGAAAGAGGAGGAGGAGGAAGAUAGAGAGGGGAAGAGAGAGAGAGAGAGAGAGGGACAGGGAGAGAGGGAGAGAGGAAGAGAGAGAGAGAGAGAAAGAGAGAGAGAAGUAAAAAUCCUGAAGGAUGGUUCUCAAAAAUUCUAAAGGAACCACAGGGAAUUCCUUUUAAGAGCAACAGAAAGCAAGCUAGCUGAGAUAAAUGGAGUUUACACAAAUAAAGAUGGAGCGAGGAACAAAGGGAGAAGUAGAUGACUAUGACUGGACUAAAGGACUGUCCUUCAAAUUCAUAAACAAGGACGACUGCUGACCGGGGCAGACUAUUAGACUUCUGGAUUUCUUGAAUUCUUUCGUGACAGAAGAAGAAUAAAUCAAAGAAGAACUCACCUUGGUAUGUAUGCACAUCCUGUUGGGGAUGCUCUAGAUUUACCCAUGGAAUCCUCUUCAGAGUGCUUUUUUU